GACGAACGCUGGCGGCGUGCCUAAUACAUGCAAGUAGAACGCUGAAGGAGGAGCUUGCUCUUCUGGAAGAGUUGCGAACGGGUGAGUAACGCGUGGGUAACCUGCCUGGUAGCGGGGGAUAACUAUUGGAAACGAUAGCUAAUACCGCAUAAGAUUGAAUAUCGCAUGAUAAUUGAUUAAAAGAUGCAAUUGCAUCACUACCAGAUGGACCUGCGUUGUAUUAGCUAGUAGGUGAGGUAACGGCUCACCUAGGCGACGAUACAUAGCCGACCUGAGAGGGUGAUCGGCCACACUGGGACUGAGACACGGCCCAGACUCCUACGGGAGGCAGCAGUAGGGAAUCUUCGGCAAUGGGGGCAACCCUGACCGAGCAACGCCGCGUGAGUGAAGAAGGUUUUCGGAUCGUAAAGCUCUGUUGUAAGAGAAGAACGAGUGUGAGAAGUGGAAAGUUCACACUGUGAUCGGU
RNAcentral lists this ribosomal RNA (466 nucleotides) under Streptococcus sp. oral taxon 056. RNAcentral describes it as "bacterial SSU rRNA". It matches the Rfam family "Bacterial small subunit ribosomal RNA", at positions 28 to 476 of the family's 1533-position model. Lineage: Bacteria; Bacillati; Bacillota; Bacilli; Lactobacillales; Streptococcaceae. The record is from RNAcentral.